AUUGAACGCUGGCGGCAGGCUUAACACAUGCAAGUCGAACGAGUGGCGGACGGGUGAGUAAUGCUUGGGAAUCUGGCUUAUGGAGGGGGAUAACGACGGGAAACUGUCGCUAAUACCGCGUACCAUAGGAUGAGCCCAAGUGGGCUUCGGUAGUUGGUGGGGUAAUGGCCCACCCAGCCGACGAUUCCUAGCUGGUCUGUGAGGAUGACCAGCCACACCGGAACGUGUACACGGCCCUGACCCCUACGGGAGGCAGCAGAGGGGAAUAUUGCGCAAUGGGGGCAACCUGACGCAGCCAUGCCGCGUGAAUGAAGAAGGCCUUCGGGUUGUAAGGUGCUUUCGGUGACGAGGCGUUAAUCGCAGAAGAAGCACCGGCUAACUCCGUGCCAGCCGCCGCGGUAAUAC
This 405-nucleotide ribosomal RNA is filed under the name uncultured bacterium. RNAcentral's name for it is "partial 16S ribosomal RNA". It matches the Rfam family "Bacterial small subunit ribosomal RNA", at positions 30 to 526 of the family's 1533-position model. The record is from RNAcentral.